Molecule: non-coding RNA, 45 nt
Filed under: Echinostoma caproni
Lineage: Eukaryota; Metazoa; Platyhelminthes; Trematoda; Plagiorchiida; Echinostomatidae
Source: RNAcentral
GCACUACUGACGAGUCCCAAGUAGGACGAAACAGUUGUCCAGUGC